GGGGAUUUAGCUCAGUGGCAAUAAGCACCUGCCUUGCAAGCAGGCGGUCGUGAUUUGGAUCCCCA
Molecule: transfer RNA, 65 nt
Organism: Cavia porcellus (domestic guinea pig)
Lineage: Eukaryota; Metazoa; Chordata; Mammalia; Rodentia; Caviidae
Rfam family: tRNA
About the family: Transfer RNA (tRNA) molecules are approximately 80 nucleotides in length. Their secondary structure includes four short double-helical elements and three loops (D, anti-codon, and T loops).
Source: Rfam